GGCAUUGGCGGAUAUAGCCGGGUCGCCCCCCUCCUAAGGGGAAGGUCGCCCGUUCGAAUCGGGCCGGGGUCACCA
This 75-nucleotide transfer RNA is filed under the name Stenotrophomonas maltophilia. RNAcentral describes it as "tRNA-Arg". The record is from RNAcentral. Lineage: Bacteria; Pseudomonadati; Pseudomonadota; Gammaproteobacteria; Lysobacterales; Lysobacteraceae.